Molecule: ribosomal RNA, 253 nt
Filed under: uncultured bacterium
Lineage: Bacteria
Description: partial 16S ribosomal RNA
Rfam family: Bacterial small subunit ribosomal RNA
Source: RNAcentral
UACGGAGGGUGCAAGCAUUGAUCGGAAUUACUGGGCGUAAAGGGCGCGUAGGCGGCCAAGCAAGUCAGAUGUGAAAUUCCAGGGCUCAACCCUGGAGCUGCGUUUGAAACUACUUGGCUUGUGUGCAGUUAGGGUAAACGGAAUUCCACGUGUAGCGGUGAAAUGCGUAGAUAUGUGGAAGAACACCGGUGGUGAAGACGGUUUACUGGGCUGUAACAGACGCUGAGGCGCGAAAGCAUGGGGAGCAAACAGG